RNAcentral lists this ribosomal RNA (438 nucleotides) under uncultured bacterium. RNAcentral's name for it is "partial 16S ribosomal RNA". It matches the Rfam family "Bacterial small subunit ribosomal RNA", at positions 29 to 507 of the family's 1533-position model. The record is from RNAcentral.
AACGAACGCUGGCGGCAUGCCUAACACAUGCAAGUCGAACGAUGCUUUCGGGCAUAGUGGCGCACGGGUGCGUAACGCGUGGGAAUCUGCCCUUGGGUUCGGAAUAACAGUGAGAAAUUGCUGCUAAUACCGGAUGAUGUCUUAGGACAAAAGAUUUAUCGCCCCGGGAUGAGCGCGCGUAGGUUUAGCUAGUUGGUGGGGUAAUGGCCUACCAAGGCUACGAUCGUUAGCUGGUCUGAGAGGAUGAUCGGCCACACUGGGACUGAGAGAAGGCCCAGACUCCUACGGGAGGAAGCAGGGGGGAAUAUUGUACAAUGGGAGGAAGCCUGAUGAAGCAACGCCGUGUGAGGGAUGACGGCCUUCGGGUUGGAAACAGCUUUCGCCUGUGACGAAGCGUGAGUGACGGUAAUGGGUAAAGAAGAACCGGCUAACUACGUG